This is a long non-coding RNA of Notolabrus celidotus (New Zealand spotty), 764 nucleotides long. RefSeq lists it as uncharacterized. The record is from RefSeq and is a predicted model, not a curated record. NCBI's taxonomy places the organism in Eukaryota, Metazoa, Chordata, Actinopteri, Labriformes, Labridae. The transcript has 4 exons.
AGGCUCUAAGUGCUCAAAACUGUAUAAAUGGGGACGGGACAGCAGCAGUUUUGGACCUCUCAGACACAACUCCCAGAGAUUGAGCUAAAGACAGAGGGAAGAGGGAGCACCACAGUCAGAGGCAGAUUUUGAAACAGGUGAAACAGAGAUUUACAAUGCAUCUGAUAAUUCUGAUGCAGCUCCUGAUCCUGGCAUCAGUAACUUCAGCAGUCACGACACCAGGAGCCACCCCUUCAGGAGGCACCACAGCUGGAGGGACGACAGCAGGAGGCACCACAGCUGGAGGGACGACAGCAGGAGGCACCACAGCUGGAGGGCCUGCUGCAGCCACGAGCGGCGCAGCUAUGACCACAGCAAACAUGGGAACUGCUGCCUCAACCAACGCCAACACAGUAGGGAUGACAGCAGCCGUAACAUCGAACUCAACAAACACAAACUCCACCACCAACGCUGCUGCUUCUACACAUCCAGGGAUCACAUACACAAGUGGUCUGAUUGUGUGCCACUUCACUAUUGUUCUUUUCAAGUCUCUCUUCACUGUGUGACGUGGUUGUAUUGCCUUUAUCUAUCCCUUCAGAAUAUGUAAUUUAUAUAUGAAACUGUAAAACCGUAUAAUCAUGUGACGCAUUUGUGUUGAUGGAUUUAGAAAAUCUAAAUGAUCCAGUGUGUUAAGAUGUUAUGAUUAAAGUUCUGUAUACACCGAUUGUAUCUUCUCCUACCCAGAGAAAGCUCCUUAAAUUUGUGUUAAAAAGACCUCUUUCAUA